UUAAGCUACAAAGAGCGUAGGGUGAAUAGCUAGGCACCAAGAGCCGAAGAAGGACGUGAUAAGCUGCGAAAAGCUUUGGGUAGGAGCAAAUAUCCAUUAAUCCAGAGAUAUCCGAAUGAGGGAACUCACUUAGAGCAAACAAUCUAAGUAUCCAUAUAUGAGUAAAGUAGUAUAUGAGAAGGGAACGUGGGGAACUGAAACAUCUUAGUACCCACAGGAAAAGAAAGAGAAAUCGAUUCCUAGAGUAGUGGCGAGCGAAAUAGGAAGAGCCUAAACCAUGAGUAGUAAUACACAUGGGGUUCGGACCACGAUAUAUUAUCAAUAAUUCUAAUAGAAAUGUUUUGGAAAAGCAUACCAUAGACGGUGAAAGUCCAGUAUAUGAAAGAAAAGUUGAGAUUAGUGGUAUCCAGAGUAGUACGAGACACGAGAAAUCUCGUAUGAAUAAGCGGGGACCAUCCCGUAAGGCUAAAUACUACUUGGUGACCGAUAGUGAACUAGUACCGUGAGGGAAAGGUGAAAAGAACCCCGGGAGGGGAGUGAAAUAGAACAUGAAACCCUAUGUUUACAAGCAGACAAAGCACUUUAUAUGUGCGAUGUCGUACUUUUUGUAGAACGGUCCAGCGAGUUAUUGUGUAUGGCGAGGUUAAGUAUUACGUAAGGUACGGAGCCGAAGCGAAAGCGAGUCUGAAAAGGGCGAUAUAAGUCAUGCAUAAUAGACCCGAAACUGAGUGACCUAUCCAUGAGCAGGAUGAAGCUAGAGUAAAAUCUAGUGGAGGUCCGAACUGAUUGUCGUUAAAAAGGCACCGGAUGACUUGUGGAUAGCGGAGAAAUUCCAAUCGAACUCAGAGAUAGCUGGUUCUCCUCGAAAUAGCUUUAGGGCUAGCCUUGAGGGAAUGCAUAUGGGGGUAGAGCACUGAAUGAGGUAGGGGCCUAACCAGGUUACCAAACUCUAUCAAACUCCGAAUACCAUAUGUAAAUACUCAGGAGUCAGACUGCGGGAGCUAAGUUCCGUGGUCAAAAGGAAAACAGUCCAGAUCGUCAAUUAAGGUCCCAAAGAUAUAGCUAAGUGGAAAACGAUGUGAUUUUGCAUAAACAACCAGGAUGUUGGCUCAGAAGCAGCCAUUCAUUCAAAGAGUGCGUAAUAGCUCACUGGUCGAGUGAAGUUGCGCGGAAAAUUACCGGGGCUAAGCUAUACACCGAAAUUGCGGAUUUACAUUUGAAAGACAAUGUAAGUGGUAGAGGAGCAUUCUGUAGUAGGAAGAAGCAUGACCGUAAGGACAUGUGGACGAAGCAGAAGAGAGAAUGCUGGAAUAAGUAGCGAGAGGAUGGUGAGAAUCCAUCCCGUCGAAAAUCUAAGGUUUCCCAGGGAAGGUUCGUCCGCCUGGGGUAAGUCGGGACCUAAGGAGAGGCCGAAAGGCGUAUCUGAUGGAUAGCAGGUUGAAAUUCCUGCACUACGAAUAUACUUAAAAGAUUCAAGGGACGCAGAAGUGGAAGAUAACCAAGUAAGAGGAAAAGCUUGGCUCGCAAGAGGGAGUGAAAAUUAAAAGUAACGAAGUAUCAAGAAGCACGCUGACGAGAAAAGCUUGAAGAUAUUGUAUAUAAGUACCCGUACCGCAAACCGACACAGGUAGAUGAGGAGAGGAUCCUAAGACGAGCGGGAGAAGCAUUGUUAAGGAACUCGGCAAAUUAACCCCGUAACUUCGGAAUAAGGGGUGCUGAUGUAACAGUCAGUCGCAGAGAAAAGGCCCAAGCAACUGUUUAACAAAAACAUAGGUUUCUGCUAAAUCGAAAGAUGAAGUAUAGGAGCUGACGCCUGCCCAGUGCUGGAAGGUUAAGGGAAAGAGUUAGGGUUAAACCGAAGCUUAGAACUGAAGCCCCAGUGAACGGCGGCCGUAACUAUAACGGUCCUAAGGUAGCGAAAUUCCUUGUCAGGUAAGUUCUGACCCGCACGAAAGGCGUAAUGAUUUGGGCACUGUCUCAACAGCCCGCCCGGCGAAAUUGUAGUAC
RNAcentral lists this ribosomal RNA (2007 nucleotides) under human gut metagenome. RNAcentral's name for it is "bacterial LSU rRNA". It matches the Rfam family "Bacterial large subunit ribosomal RNA", at positions 3 to 2050 of the family's 2925-position model. The record is from RNAcentral.